CACUCCCCUGUCAGUGAGGAGAGAUGUGAUUGGCAAGCGGCUCCGUCACUGGAGCCGCUGUCAAUCAUCACAGGGUGGAUGAGGAGGCGGUGCGGGCAUAGUGGCGGUCAGGCCGAACAGUGUCACCUCACCUCACUGUGUAAUCAGUUAAUGGAGUGCGCUGUGGCCAGCGGCAGCUGUUGGGAGGGACGCUCAGUACAUCAGAGACCCCCGGCUGCGACCCCCCCCCCCCGUGCGGCCGCGACCACCCACACCACUGUGCGCUGGUCAUGCCGCGCGACCACCCACACCACUGCGCUGGUCAUGCCGGCUCAGUGGAAGGCUGUCUCACUAGCCUUGGCUUCCCUGCACCGCAAAUAUAGUGUGAUGUCAGGACGUGUGACAUCACUGGAGCGCCACCCCGGCACCCAUGCGUCCCGAACUGAAGGAAGCCACACAGAACAGUGGCAGCAGCACCUGAGGUGAGGAGAGUCCUGCUGGCUGCUGAUCCACUGCGAUGAUAUGGUACUAUGAUUCACAUGGCUCCUCACACAUCGAUAUAUAUAUAUAUAUAUAUAUAUAUAUAUAUAUAUAUAUAUAUAUAUAUAUAUAUAUAUAUAUAUAUAUAUAUAUAUACUAGCUCACAGCCACCCACCGAUCACCACCUUCAGCCGCCCACCACCCGCUGCUCACCGCCGUCAACCACCCACCACUCACCGCCGCCCGCCGCUCACCGCCUCCAGCCACCCACCGCCAUCUGCAACAAAUGGCAGUCACCGUCAGCGGGACCUCACCGCCGCUGCCCAUGGGUGCCUCCGGUGACCACAGUCAGUGGUCAAGAUCUGUGCCCAGCAAACCUUGGUCUAUUCAAUAGUUCUACUGGUUUAGUGAAGGAAUUUAAUGUGAACGCAAGAUUCAUUUUUGGACCUCCUGGCGCAGAUUCACGUGACCUCACUGUUUCCGGUGACGUCAGGGUCCUGAACCCGGAAGGAGAUGCGGGCCGGCGGCGGGCGAGGUACGGGCGGCAUGGAAACAAGACAAAUAAAAUGAUGGAGAAGCAUUGUAAGAAAUAUACAACAAAACAUUACAUAAAUCCUGUGUCUUAACAGAUGAUAUGUAUAUAUUGAAGUGUCUUGUCCUUAUGUUGCAUUAUGGAAUUAUUAGUAUUUUUUUAUUAGUGUUGCAUUAUGGAAUUAUCAGUAUUUUUCACCUGUCGUUUGCCAGGUUGCCAGUCACUACCUUUUGUGGCCUUUGUCCCCUAUAGUCACAUCUCUCUGCCUCCCUCCAACCUCCCUCAGACGCGGCAGUCUCAGACCCUGGCUGCUGACAUCGCUCAUUAUCUCCAGUCCUGGCUGCAGA
Pseudophryne corroboree (corroboree frog) is the source of this 1338-nucleotide long non-coding RNA. RefSeq lists it as uncharacterized. The record is from RefSeq and is a predicted model, not a curated record. Lineage: Eukaryota; Metazoa; Chordata; Amphibia; Anura; Myobatrachidae. The transcript is spliced from 4 exons.